GUAGGUGGCAAGCGUUGUCCGGAAUUAUUGGGCGUAAAGCGCGCGCAGGCGGUUCUUUAAGUCUGAUGUGAAAGCCCACGGGCUCAACCGUGGAGGGUCAUUGGGAACUGGAGAACUUGAGUACAGAAGAGGAAAGCGGAAUUCCACGUGUAGCGGUGAAAUGCGUAGAGAUGUGGAGGAACACCAGUGGCGAAGGCGGCUUUCUGGUCUGUAACUGACGCUGAGGCGCGAAAGCGUGGGGAGCAAACAGGAUUAGAUACCCUGGUAGUCCACGCCGUAAACGAUGAGUGCUAAGUGUUAGGGGGUUUCCGCCCCUUAGUGCCGCAGCUAACGCAUUAAGCACUCCGCCUGGGGAGUACGGCCGCAAAGGCUG
Molecule: ribosomal RNA, 373 nt
Filed under: uncultured organism
Description: partial 16S ribosomal RNA
Rfam family: Bacterial small subunit ribosomal RNA
Source: RNAcentral